RNAcentral lists this unclassified non-coding RNA (315 nucleotides) under plant metagenome. RNAcentral's name for it is "partial contains 5.8S ribosomal RNA, internal transcribed spacer 2, and large subunit ribosomal RNA". The stretch from base 1 to 105 matches the Rfam family "5.8S ribosomal RNA", at positions 50 to 154 of the family's 154-position model. The record is from RNAcentral.
GAACUGCGAUAAGUAAUGUGAAUUGCAGAAUUCAGUGAAUCAUCGAGUCUUUGAACGCACAUUGCGCCCCCUGGCAUUCCGGGGGGCAUGCCUGUCCGAGCGUCAUUGCUGCCCUUCAAGCCCGGCUUGUGUGUUGGGUCGUCGUCCCCUCCGGGGGACGGGCCCGAAAGGCAGCGGCGGAACCGCGUCCGGUCCUCGAGCGUAUGGGGCUUUGUCACCCGCUCGAUAAGGACCGGCCGGGCGCCAGCCGGCGUCUCCAACCUUUUUUUCUCAGGUUGACCUCGGAUCAGGUAGGGAUACCCGCUGAACUUAAGC